RNAcentral lists this long non-coding RNA (176 nucleotides) under Fukomys damarensis (Damara mole-rat). RNAcentral's name for it is "lncRNA (ENSFDAG00000032919.1)". The record is from RNAcentral. Lineage: Eukaryota; Metazoa; Chordata; Mammalia; Rodentia; Bathyergidae.
ACCGUACAGUCUUCCAUGCUUCCGGCUUUAAUAUUCUGUGCUAGAUUCACAAAACUCUUUUACAGAUGCUAAGCGUUCAAUCCUGAAGGCUCCACUUCAUCAUCAGGAUGAAGACAGAGGGGAGAACAAAGUGCUCAGAACAACCCAUGUAAAGGCAUCCGUGUCCUAAGGCCCAC